This 253-nucleotide ribosomal RNA is filed under the name uncultured bacterium. Its description in RNAcentral is "partial 16S ribosomal RNA". It matches the Rfam family "Bacterial small subunit ribosomal RNA", at positions 524 to 776 of the family's 1533-position model. The record is from RNAcentral.
UACGAAGGGGGCAAGCGUUGUUCGGAAUCACUGGGCUUAAAGCGUGCGUAGGCGGACUUGCAAGUCAGGAGUGAAAUCCCAGGGCUCAACCUUGGAACUGCUUUUGAAACUGCAAGUCUAGAAACCGGUAGGGGUGAGGAGAAUUCCGAGUGUAGAGGUGAAAUUCGCAGGUAUUCGGAGGAAUACCAGUGGCGUAGGCGCCUCACUGGACCGGUCUUGACGCUGAGGCACGAAAGCGUGGGUAGCAAACAGC